RNAcentral lists this ribosomal RNA (407 nucleotides) under Scutellastra barbara. RNAcentral describes it as "partial 12S ribosomal RNA". It matches the Rfam family "Bacterial small subunit ribosomal RNA", at positions 774 to 1406 of the family's 1533-position model. Lineage: Eukaryota; Metazoa; Mollusca; Gastropoda; Patellidae. The record is from RNAcentral.
GGGAUUAGAUACCCUGUUAUUUAAAGAUAUAAAUCUAGUUUUAGCUGCCAGGGCAUUACGAACACAUGUUUAAAACUCAAAGGAAUUGGCGGUGCUAUAACCAACUAGGGGAACCUGUUCCUUAAUUCGAUGACCCACGAGAAUCUUACCUAUUUUAGUCUAUCAGUUUAUAUACCGUCGUUUAACUAACCUCUUAAGAGUAAAAAAGUUAGUAAGAAAAGGCCAUUCUCCUAAUAAAACAGAUAAAGGUGUAGCUAAUGAAUAGGGGAAGAAUGUGUUACAAUUAAUAAUUUGUUAAUGGACUCAAGAUGAAACUUCUUGGAAGAAAGAGGACUUAGAAGUAAUUUCUUUAAUGACCUGAAAUGAAUACGGCUCUAUAGUGUGCACAAAUCGCCCGUCACUCUCUG